RNAcentral lists this ribosomal RNA (2403 nucleotides) under Acinetobacter baumannii. RNAcentral describes it as "bacterial SSU rRNA". The stretch from base 872 to 2403 matches the Rfam family "Bacterial small subunit ribosomal RNA". Lineage: Bacteria; Pseudomonadati; Pseudomonadota; Gammaproteobacteria; Moraxellales; Moraxellaceae. The record is from RNAcentral.
AGAGUUUGAUCAUGGCUCAGAUUGAACGCUGGCGGCAGGCUUAACACAUGCAAGUCGAGCGGGGGAAGGUAGCUUGCUACCGGACCUAGCGGCGGACGGGUGAGUAAUGCUUAGGAAUCUGCCUAUUAGUGGGGGACAACAUCUCGAAAGGGAUGCUAAUACCGCAUACGUCCUACGGGAGAAAGCAGGGGAUCUUCGGACCUUGCGCUAAUAGAUGAGCCUAAGUCGGAUUAGCUAGUUGGUGGGGUAAAGGCCUACCAAGGCGACGAUCUGUAGCGGGUCUGAGAGGAUGAUCCGCCACACUGGGACUGAGACACGGCCCAGACUCCUACGGGAGGCAGCAGUGGGGAAUAUUGGACAAUGGGGGGAACCCUGAUCCAGCCAUGCCGCGUGUGUGAAGAAGGCCUUAUGGUUGUAAAGCACUUUAAGCGAGGAGGAGGCUACUUUAGUUAAUACCUAGGGAUAGUGGACGUUACUCGCAGAANAUGGUCUAUAAUGCACAUCCAUCGGCGGUGAUGCAGAUAGAAACUUGUUGAAAAACAGUUACUUGUGAUUAGAUUGGUUGCUUUAAGUGAUGAAUUUGAUGAUGAGGUAGUUUGGAGAAUAAGUUUUAAAAAUAUCGAAAUUACCUGUUGACUUUUAAGAGAUUAAGAGUAAUAUAGCCGACCUAGCUUGCUGGUGACGAACCAGUAAGAAGAUCAUUAAGAGAAUUGAAGAACAACUUGUGUGGAUUUUUACUGAUUGAUUAAUCGAAAUAAUUUUCAUUGAUUGAUUGGUUUAAAUUACUCGAAGUUUAUUUGAGCGAAAUUUAAGUCAGUAAUUGAUGAGCCAGAAUUGGCACCUUGUCUAUAAAUAAGGUGCAAAAUGAUUUUAACUGAAGAGUUUGAUCAUGGCUCAGAUUGAACGCUGGCGGCAGGCUUAACACAUGCAAGUCGAGCGGGGGAAGGUAGCUUGCUACCGGACCUAGCGGCGGACGGGUGAGUAAUGCUUAGGAAUCUGCCUAUUAGUGGGGGACAACAUCUCGAAAGGGAUGCUAAUACCGCAUACGUCCUACGGGAGAAAGCAGGGGAUCUUCGGACCUUGCGCUAAUAGAUGAGCCUAAGUCGGAUUAGCUAGUUGGUGGGGUAAAGGCCUACCAAGGCGACGAUCUGUAGCGGGUCUGAGAGGAUGAUCCGCCACACUGGGACUGAGACACGGCCCAGACUCCUACGGGAGGCAGCAGUGGGGAAUAUUGGACAAUGGGGGGAACCCUGAUCCAGCCAUGCCGCGUGUGUGAAGAAGGCCUUAUGGUUGUAAAGCACUUUAAGCGAGGAGGAGGCUACUUUAGUUAAUACCUAGGGAUAGUGGACGUUACUCGCAGAAUAAGCACCGGCUAACUCUGUGCCAGCAGCCGCGGUAAUACAGAGGGUGCGAGCGUUAAUCGGAUUUACUGGGCGUAAAGCGUGCGUAGGCGGCUUAUUAAGUCGGAUGUGAAAUCCCCGAGCUUAACUUGGGAAUUGCAUUCGAUACUGGUGAGCUAGAGUAUGGGAGAGGAUGGUAGAAUUCCAGGUGUAGCGGUGAAAUGCGUAGAGAUCUGGAGGAAUACCGAUGGCGAAGGCAGCCAUCUGGCCUAAUACUGACGCUGAGGUACGAAAGCAUGGGGAGCAAACAGGAUUAGAUACCCUGGUAGUCCAUGCCGUAAACGAUGUCUACUAGCCGUUGGGGCCUUUGAGGCUUUAGUGGCGCAGCUAACGCGAUAAGUAGACCGCCUGGGGAGUACGGUCGCAAGACUAAAACUCAAAUGAAUUGACGGGGGCCCGCACAAGCGGUGGAGCAUGUGGUUUAAUUCGAUGCAACGCGAAGAACCUUACCUGGCCUUGACAUACUAGAAACUUUCCAGAGAUGGAUUGGUGCCUUCGGGAAUCUAGAUACAGGUGCUGCAUGGCUGUCGUCAGCUCGUGUCGUGAGAUGUUGGGUUAAGUCCCGCAACGAGCGCAACCCUUUUCCUUACUUGCCAGCAUUUCGGAUGGGAACUUUAAGGAUACUGCCAGUGACAAACUGGAGGAAGGCGGGGACGACGUCAAGUCAUCAUGGCCCUUACGGCCAGGGCUACACACGUGCUACAAUGGUCGGUACAAAGGGUUGCUACACAGCGAUGUGAUGCUAAUCUCAAAAAGCCGAUCGUAGUCCGGAUUGGAGUCUGCAACUCGACUCCAUGAAGUCGGAAUCGCUAGUAAUCGCGGAUCAGAAUGCCGCGGUGAAUACGUUCCCGGGCCUUGUACACACCGCCCGUCACACCAUGGGAGUUUGUUGCACCAGAAGUAGCUAGCCUAACUGCAAAGAGGGCGGUUACCACGGUGUGGCCGAUGACUGGGGUGAAGUCGUAACAAGGUAGCCGUAGGGGAACCUGCGGCUGGAUCACCU